AUUGAACGCUGGCGGCAGGCCUAACACAUGCAAGUCGAGCGGAUGAAGGGAGCUUGCUCCUGGAUUCAGCGGCGGACGGGUGAGUAAUGCCUAGGAAUCUGCCUGGUAGUGUGGGAUAACGUCCGGAAACGGGCGCUAAUACCGCAUACGUCCUGAGGGAGAAAGUGGGGGAUCUUCGGACCUCACGCUAUCAGAUGAGCCUAGGUCGGAUUAGCUAGUUGGUGGGGUAAAGGCCUACCAAGGCGACGAUCCGUAACUGGUCUGAGAGGAUGAUCAGUCACACUGGAACUGAGACACGGUCCCGACUCCUACGGGAGGCAGCAGUGGGGAAUAUUGGACAAUGGGCGCAAGCCUGAUCCAGCCAUGCCGCGUGUGUGAAGAAGGUCUUCGGAUUGUAAAGCACUUUAAGUUGGGAGGAAGGGCAGUAAGUUAAUACCUUGCUGUUUUGACGUUACCAACAGAAUAAGCACCGGCUAACUUCGUG
This 484-nucleotide ribosomal RNA is filed under the name uncultured bacterium. RNAcentral describes it as "partial 16S ribosomal RNA". It matches the Rfam family "Bacterial small subunit ribosomal RNA", at positions 30 to 507 of the family's 1533-position model. The record is from RNAcentral.